RNAcentral lists this ribosomal RNA (250 nucleotides) under uncultured prokaryote. RNAcentral describes it as "partial 16S ribosomal RNA". It matches the Rfam family "Bacterial small subunit ribosomal RNA", at positions 524 to 773 of the family's 1533-position model. The record is from RNAcentral.
UACGUAGGUGACAAGCGUUAUCCGGAUUUACUGGGUGUAAAGGGCGUGUAGGCGGGUUUGCAAGUCAGAUGUGAAAUCCCGGGGCUUAACUCCGGAGCUGCAUCUGAAACUGCAUAUCUUGAGUAUCGGAGAGGAAAGUGGAAUUCCCAGUGUAGCGGUGAAAUGCGUAGAGAUUGGGAGGAACACCAGUGGCGAAGGCGGCUUUCUGGACGAUAACUGACGCUGAGGCGCGAAAGCGUGGGGAGCAAAC